GCAUGCAGUCCGCGUGUUUUACUCUCAUUUUUCCGAUUUUUCCGGCGCCAUUAAUGGAAUGAAAUUCCGUCGCGAAAAUAACUAGGAAAGUGAGCGUUUUGAUAGUUUAGUGGUGCGAUUUGUCUGCAAGACGGCCGCUGAGGUGUCCACAGGUGAUUUUUCUUCUACUCCUCCGAAUGCGGCCAAGAAAAAUGCAGCAGAAGACACAUCAACGGAAUUGCUCGUACGUACGCGCCCCAACGGAUGCUGUCAUCUUCCUGGGGAAUCAGGAAUCCAGCCGAAAUUUGUAUUAUGCCCAUUCCGAGGCCUCAAGAACAUCUUGCCGUAUGGUUCCGGCGAACAGAAUCCGCUACAACACGAGCUGUUCCAAAAGUUCUAGCACACCAGCCGGACAAAGACCCGCUGUUCAGCGCUCAGGCUGCCGAAGGAAACCGAACCGAGAAUCAGGAACCACCGAAGGUAUACGGAUUUGAUUCUACAUGGGUUGUCGCGAGACGCCAGCUGCUUCGGUGUGUUGGAUCAGCACGCAAUACUUGAACGGGCUUUGCAGAGCACAUGUGAAUCAUUCCGCUGCGGUUCGUCGUAUUUAUCUCCUGAAACAUCCCAACCGUUAUACUUCAUCAGUCUGAUAAUGCAAUAAAAAAUGAAAUAAAUUAUUUCAAGAUGAUACGUACAAUAAAAAAUUGUAAUUCAUAUUUAA
Aedes aegypti (yellow fever mosquito) is the source of this 700-nucleotide long non-coding RNA. RefSeq lists it as uncharacterized. Lineage: Eukaryota; Metazoa; Arthropoda; Insecta; Diptera; Culicidae. The transcript is spliced from 2 exons. The record is from RefSeq and is a predicted model, not a curated record.